UGGCCAAAGAUGAAUAUCACGAACUGAUUGUGGAUUGAAUUAUACACAGAUCUGAUGGCUUAAAGGAUUUUCUGAGGCCA
This 80-nucleotide small nucleolar RNA is filed under the name Salvator merianae (Argentine black and white tegu). RNAcentral's name for it is "Small nucleolar RNA SNORD93 (ENSSMRG00000003552.1)". Lineage: Eukaryota; Metazoa; Chordata; Lepidosauria; Squamata; Teiidae. The record is from RNAcentral.